GGAUGUUGAAAAAGAUAGUAGAAGGUGCCGGAACUGCACCACCAUAGAAGGUGAUAGUCCUGUAAGCGAAAUUUUUUUCUACGCCUUGUCUGUUCCUGAGUACCAUGGGGCACGAUUAAACCCUGUGGGAAGCCGGGGCGACCAAGCUCCAAAGCUAAAUAUCAGCACUUACCGAUAGUGAACUAGUACCGUGAGGGAAAGGUGAAAAGCACCCCGGGAGGGGGAUGAAAUAGUACCUGAAACUAAUGGCUAACAAGCAGUGAAGGCUUGUGCAUGGCACAAGGCUAAAUUUCUAAUUUCUAAUUAUUCUAAUUUCUAAUCAAGCACCAAUUUUUUAAAGUGUCCAAUUGAUUAGAUCAAUUAGUAAUUAGGUCAAUUAGGUUAAUUUAUCCUCGUGCUGUGCACGAGUGAUCACGUGCCUAUUGAAGAAUGAGCCAGUGAGUUUUUGUUGCCUUCAAGUCUAAGUCGUAUUGCGACGGAGGCGAAGUGAAAGCGAGCCCUAACUGGGCUAUUUAGAAGGUUACAGAAGACCCGAAACCAGGUGAGCUAACCAUGAGCAGGGUGAAUGCCGAUGAAAAUCGGCAGGAGGCCCGAACCCGUUGAUGUAGCAAUAUCAUGGGAUGACUUGUGGUUAGGGGUAAUAUGCCAAUCGAACUUGGAGAUAGCUGGUUCUCCCUGAAAUAUAUUUAGGUAUAGCCUUUAUUUGAUAAAUGUUGGGGGUAGAGCACUGAAUGGUAUCUGGAGAGGAAACUCUUCAGGAUCAAUCAAACUCCGAAUACCAACAUUUUGGAAUAGAGAGUCAGUCCUGCGGCGCUAAGGUCGUGGGUCGAGAGGGAAACAACCCAGACUCCCGUUUAAGGCCUCUAAAUUCAAGCUAAGUUGUUAAGAAAGUCAUGAUCCUCAGACACCUAGGAGGUUGGCUCAGAAGCAGCCAUCCUUUAAAGAAAGCGUAACAGCUCACUAGUCGAUUUGGGAUUGUGGCGUCGAAAAUGAUCGAGGAUUAAGCUUGAUGCCGAAGACGGAGGUGUUCCGGUUUUACGACCGGAAUGCAGUAAGGGAGCGUCCCGCCAGCUUUGAAGGUGAGCCGUAAGGCUUGCUGGAGUAGGCGGGAGUGAGAAUGCUGGCAUGAGUAGCGAUUAUUCCGAUGAGAAAUCGGAACGCCGAAAGUCUAAGGUUUCCUUCGCAAUGUAAGUCAGCGAAGGGUUAGUCGGCUCCUAACGGUGGCCCGUGUGAAACGCGGGGUAGCCGGAUGGACGAGUCGUUAAAAUUCGACUACAGGUUUUGAUGCGUUUACCCCCGCAAGGGGGUUAUCACCUGGGGAUUAACCAGGGUGGAAGAGAUCGCCCCGCUUGCGGGGUUUAAGCCAUAAAAUAGUUUUGAUAGGGAAAUCCGUCAGAAUGUUAAAUUGAGUGGCGAGUACGAGUUUGAAAGGGAAACUGAGUAGGACGAGGAUCUAUCUUUCAGCCUGCGAGAAAAGAUUCACAGGGAGUGUCAAGUCUUGCCGUACCGCAUUACCGACACAGGUAGACUGGUGGAGAACACCAAGGCGAUCGGGAGAAGAAUGUUCAAGGAACUCGGCAAAAAAGCUGGGCGUAACCUUUGGGAGAUGCCCUGCCAGGUACCAGCCGGUAUCCUGGCCGCAGCGAAAGUUUGCUUAGCGACUGUUUAUCUAAAACACAGGUCCCUGCAAAGCCGAAAGGCAAAGUAUAGGGGCUGACACCUGCCCAGUGCUGGUAAGUCAAUGAUGGUGAGUGAAGCUCGUAAGAGUCAGCUCGUUAUCAAAGCUCCAGUGAACGGCAGCAGUAACUAUAACUGUUCUAUGGUAGCGAAGUUCCUUGUCGGGUGAGUUCCGACCCGCACGAAAGGUAGAACGACUGAGCAACUGUCUUGAACAUUUACCCGGCGAAAUUGAGAUGGCUGUGAAGACGCGGCCUGGUUGUCCUAGGACAAAAAGACCCCGGGAGCUUUACUGUAGCUUCGCAUUUGAAAGCUUUUUUCAACUGUCGAGAAUAGGAGGGACCCCGCCGCAAGGCGGGGGUCAGUGAAAUACCUCUCUUUGAAAUGGGUAAUCAUUAUUCUUAUCCCGCAUAAAAAUCCGGGAAGAAAACAGUGCGUGGUGGGCAGUUUAACUGGGGAGGUUGACUCCUAAAUUGCAACGGAGUUGUACAAAGGUUGGCUUAACGCGGAUGGAAAUCGCGUUGUAAGUGCAUAGGCAUAAGCCAGCUUGACUGUGAGACUCACAAGUCGAGCAGGUACGAAAGUAGGUCUAAGUGAUCCUGCGUUCCUUAUUGGUCGGGACGCAGCUUAACGGAUAAAAGCUACCCCGGGGAUACAAUUUACUGUGUCCGGGUCUUAUGGUAACAUAAGGCCAGGCAUACGGCUAAUAACGGUGGAGCCCUCUUGCUUUGGUUUUGGUCUUUUCCAUAAUCGAGGGAGGCAAAGGGUAAUACCGUGGGAAGUCUUCAGUUAUCGGUUCUCGGUUUUCAGUGUUCGGAAUCUGGUCUAUCAGUUUGCAGUUUAUCAGACUGACAAACAGACAACCGGUAAACGAAUAUCUGACAACCGACAACAGAAAACAGAUAACCGUCGACCCCGUAUCGACUGAUGUUCCAUUCAUGGAACUGAGAUAGAAGUUGUUUCUUGUUACAUUAACAAGAAAAUUUAUGACUUUUAUCACACGCCGUACUCCCGAUUUUAUCGGGAUGAAGAUAUAGUCAGUGCAGCAAGAAAUUGCUGAUUUGUCAUUCCGAUUUAAUCG
RNAcentral lists this ribosomal RNA (2758 nucleotides) under Candidatus Levybacteria bacterium RIFCSPLOWO2_02_FULL_39_26. RNAcentral's name for it is "bacterial LSU rRNA". The stretch from base 1 to 2377 matches the Rfam family "Bacterial large subunit ribosomal RNA", at positions 315 to 2925 of the family's 2925-position model. The record is from RNAcentral. Lineage: Bacteria; Candidatus Levyibacteriota.